AGUUUCAAAAAAUUGUGAUGGCAUUAGCAAUAUCCUCUAUAUAUAUAUAAUUUAAACUUUCAAUGUCAACCCAUAUGUCUUAAUUGUCAAGUCAUUACCAAAUCCGUUAGUAUUUCACUUACUUCAUUUCUAACAACUCAUAUUGAUUAUACAUAAUUCAUGUUCAUGAAACUUUUACAAUGUUCCAGAAGUUUCACAUAUUUUGGGCUUGAACAAGAUCACACCUCGUGCAGUUAAAGAUUUUUUUUUGCAUUUAAAACCAGUUUCAAAACUGCAAGUCACAGCGCAUGUUUGAGCUAGAGAAGCAAUGGCAGUACCAUGAUGAAGACAAAAGAUGUAAACGGAAUGUACAAACGAUUUUACGUAAAUACUGCUCCACAAGUAUUCAGUAAAUUGAAAUUGCAUCUAUGUACACAUUUUACUCUUAGGACAACCAAAAAAGACCAUGUCACUUCAGAGCUCAGAAACAGGAAAAGAGUUGGUGAAGAUAUUGUCGAUUAAGGGAAAAGAAUGAGACCUUCCAACUGCAAGAAGGGCAAUAAAUUGAAGAGGUACGUUCCACAGAAACUCCCACUCCGCUUGGUGCGUACAGGCUUGGUCCAAAGAGCUUCCAAGGGGCACAUCAUGCUUGUCACGAUGUAGAGGUGGUUUCGAUGUAUGCUCCACGGAACAUUGUGAGCUGAGCAUUUAGCCUCACACAUCUGAUGCUAAUCAACAAUACAGAGUCGGUUCUUUACUUGAAUUGUUCCGGUGCUCACCAUUUCACGACAUGAAAAAAUACUUGCACAUUUAGAGAUCAUUACUGAAGACUAAUUCGACUUGACCUAACGAGAUCUCUCACACAUGUUGAGUG
Molecule: long non-coding RNA, 853 nt
Filed under: Physcomitrium patens
Lineage: Eukaryota; Viridiplantae; Streptophyta; Bryopsida; Funariales; Funariaceae
Description: long non-coding RNA (PPAT_LNC006298)
Source: RNAcentral